CGGGGUCCCCAGGGCCUCAUCUCCGACCGGCGGAACGGGGCCGGAGCGCUGAGGCUCGGUCCUGCCCUGCCUUGCCCUUACCCGGCGGGCUCCUCGUCUUCCCCCCCCACACCUGGAAAAGCGUCGUGGUGUGCUCCCUGCCUUAGAGCCCCAAAACGUGGGGGAGCGGUGCAGAGUGCAAGUGCAGCGCGAGUAGAGGGAAAACAAAGAGGCUGCCUGAGGAACGGGCUGUGCAUGGGGUGCUUGGAAACGGGAAGGGGUAGAUUGGCUGCUCAGGUAUCGUGGUGCUCAGGCUGCUCUUUGAGACACCUGCAGCAAGGCUGUUUCUUCAGGGGAUGUUAAGUCUGAGUAGCAGCCCAAAGAGUUCUCAUGUCCAACUUGAGCUGGUUAUCUUCCUCUUAAAACUGGUUGGAGAGACCACUGUCAAGACAGGCCAUCCCUCUUAAGAACUGAGCAUGUGUUUUUUCUUGUAAGCUUAUUUUUACUUCAGGAGCAGUCCCCUGACAUCACAUCUGCGUUCCAAGUCUGCUUCCAAACAUCUGCAACACACAAUUCUAUUCUUCCAGAGCUUAUUCAGGUGCUGUACACUGUUUCGCAUAAGUGUUAUGUUUCUAAUAUUAAAAGCUUAAGAGACUUUCGAU
RNAcentral lists this long non-coding RNA (641 nucleotides) under Gallus gallus (chicken). RNAcentral describes it as "lncRNA (ENSGALG00010009267.1)". Lineage: Eukaryota; Metazoa; Chordata; Aves; Galliformes; Phasianidae. The record is from RNAcentral.